Molecule: ribosomal RNA, 465 nt
Filed under: uncultured bacterium
Lineage: Bacteria
Description: partial 16S ribosomal RNA
Rfam family: Bacterial small subunit ribosomal RNA
Source: RNAcentral
CGCCAGACUCCUACGGGAGGCAGCAGUGAGGAAUAUCGGUCAAUGGUCGGGAGACUGAACCAGCCAAGCCGCGUGAGGGAUGAAGGUACAGAGUAUCGUAAACCUCUUUUGUCAGGGAACAAAGGCGGGGACGUGUCCCCGGAUGAGUGUACCUGAAGAAAAAGCAUCGGCUAACUCCGUGCCAGCAGCCGCGGUAAUACGGAGGAUGCGAGCGUUAUCCGGAUUUAUUGGGUUUAAAGGGGGCGCAGGCGUCUUGUUAGGGCGGGGGUAACGCGCGGGCCCCCCCCCCCCCCCCGCCGUUGAAACUGGCAGUCUCGAGUUGGAGAGAAGUAUGCGGAAUGCGCGGUGUAGCGGUGAAAUGCAUAGAUAUCGCGCAGAACUCCGAUUGCGAAGGCAGCAUGCCGGCUCCACACUGACGCUGAGGCACGAAAGCGUGGGUAUCGAACAGGAUUAGAUACCCCCGUA